CAGGGCAGGUCUUUCUGAUCCUCACAGGCCAAUUGCUAGUUUCAUGUUUAUGGGUCCAACCGGAGUUGGUAAAACGGAAUUGGCUAAAGCUCUCGCUUCCUACAUGUUUAAUACCGAAGAAGCUCUGGUGAGAAUCGACAUGAGUGAAUAUAUGGAAAAACAUGCGGUUUCUAGGCUAAUUGGGGCACCACCUGGUUAUGUCGGAUAUGAAGAAGGUGGACAAUUAACAGAGACUGUUCGGAGAAGGCCUUAUGCAGUUAUCUUAUUCGACGAGAUUGAGAAGGCACAUUC
Molecule: long non-coding RNA, 291 nt
Filed under: Zostera marina
Lineage: Eukaryota; Viridiplantae; Streptophyta; Magnoliopsida; Alismatales; Zosteraceae
Description: long non-coding RNA (ZMAR_LNC001111)
Source: RNAcentral